Long non-coding RNA from Oncorhynchus tshawytscha (Chinook salmon), 2852 nucleotides. The record is from Ensembl. NCBI's taxonomy places the organism in Eukaryota, Metazoa, Chordata, Actinopteri, Salmoniformes, Salmonidae.
UGUCAGAUGAGAAAAAAGAAGAAACCCGCAUAAUGCUCUUGCUUGUAUCACUACUCUUUAAUAAGCUUGACAUAACGGCCUCGCCUCUAUUCGAAUAGAGGGUGUACAUAUAACAUAUUAAACACGUCUGUAACAUAUUGUCAGCGAAUGUGUUAAUUUAAACAAUCAUAAUAUGAAAACGUUUAAUGUAGAGGAAACAUUCAAACAAAGACACAUAGGCUUCUAUACUAGGAUUUGUGUUUUUGUUUUUUAUAUCAGAAAUAAAAAAGAACAUUUAUAGCUCAAUAAAUCAUGUUAAAGAUGAAUUAAAUAUAGAAUAGAAUUUUCAGUGCAAAAAUCUCCUGGUUAGCUGGGUACCAGGGUGAGGUGCACUGUAAUAAGGUUGGUUUAGUGAGCGCCUCAGUGCAGACUUUUGAGUGAGCAAAUACAGUAUGAGAAAACGGUGGGUCAACAGAGGAAAUUCUGUGGUGAUACAGUUUUGAAAUAAAGUACAAUAUGAAAACAGAACCGUUUUGAAUUCAUCCUUACAAUAUAUCACUUUUUUUUAUUGCAUCUCACAUUUGUUUAUUUAAUUCACUGACAUAUAUGCAUUCGUGCUCAAGCCUACUGUGCUGUAUGUUAAAUGUGUCUCUGUGAAAUCCUUGAACAGUAAUCAUUUAAAAAGCUGAGAAGAAUAUGAUUCAUGUCUUCCGAAGUCCUCAAGUCUGCUACCAUCCUUCUCUUCUGCGGCUGUCAGAGUAAAUCCAGAGCAAACUGCCCUUUCGUUUGAGUAAAUGCCCUUGCUGUUUGCACAGAAAGAGUCUACUACUGAUGUAUAUCUACAGCUACUGGAUAACAUGACUACACCAGAUAAAAGUAUAGUAGGACUCAGAUCAACACAAUCCAUCAGGUCGCAAAGGGUGCAGACAUUCACCCCCACACAACAACAACCAUCAGUUACACACACACACACACACACACACACAGACAGACAGACAGAGGGCGAGAGAGGGUGAGAGAGAGAGAGGGCGAGAGAGGGCGAGAGAGAGAGAGAGAGAGAGGGCGAGAAGAGAGAGGGCGAGAGAGGGCGAGAGAGGGCGAGAGAGGGCAAGAGAGAGAAAGAGAGAGAGAGAGAGAGAGAGGGCGAGAGAGAGAGAGGGCGAGAGAGAGAGAGGGCGAGAGAGAGAGGGCGAGAGAGAGAGAGGGCGAGAGAGAGGGCGAGAGAGAGAGAGAGGGCGAGAGAGGCGAGAGAGAGAGCGAGAGAGAAAGAGCGUCUAUCAAACCAAAAUUGUUUCUCUGAAAACUCCCAGAACAUUUGUUAGGUUGCGGCAAAUGUUAUCAUAACAGGGCGAGAGAGAGGGCGAGAGAGAGAGAGAGAGGGCGAGAGAGGGCGAGAGAGAGAGCGAGAGAGAGAGGGCGAGAGAGAGAGGGCGAGAGAGAGAGGGCGAGAGAGAGAGAGCGAGAGAGGCGAGAGAGGGCGAGAGAGAGAGCGAGAGAGAGAGGGCGAGAGAGAAAGAGCGUCUAACAAACCAAAAUUGUUUCUCUGAAAACUCCCAGAACAUUUGUUAGGUGCGGCAAAUGUUAUCAUAACAGGGCGAGAGAGAGAGCGAGAGGGCGAGAGAGAGAGGGCGAGAGAGAGAGCGAGAGAGAGAGAGAGAGGGCGAGAGAGAGAGGGCGAGAGAGAGAGAGGGCGAGAGAGAGAGCGAGAGAGAGAGAGCGAGAGAGAAAGAGCGUCUAACAAACCAAAAUUGUUUCUCUGAAAACUCCCAGAACAUUUGUUAGGUUGCGGUAAAUGUUAUCAUAACACAAAAACUGUCCCGUCGUGCUGAUGAUUAUACAAUGUUUGUAUAAACAUUUGCCUGAUGUUGCAAGAACGUUCCCAGAACAUUGCGUAUACAUUUUGUUGCAACAGUAUGUUCAAAAAACAUUGCUGGUACAUUGUGUUAUUACAUUACCAGGAAACAUAACGAGAAUGUUGUUUGGGGAAUGGUGGUUGUUACAGAUGUUGUGCGUUUUUGUGAAUGUUAGGAGAACGUCCUAAUUUUGUAUAAAAACCCUUUCUUAUGUUCUGGGUAUGUUCCCGGUUUGCUGGGCAGUCUGUCCUGUCUCUUCACUGGGGUCAGCCAGUCAAGUCAGGUGAACCAUGAGAGUCCAUACAGCACAGUCCAUACAGCACAGUCCAUACAGCACAGUCCAUACACUACACACUGUAGCAAUAGAAUAGUGUUGACAUUCAAAAGAGUGUCACUGAUCCUUAUCAAAUCUUUCAGAUUUUGUAGAAUCUAAGAAGAAGCCUGCUCCCUCUUCUCUCCUCUGACUUUCAUUUCCCUCGGCUUUGACUGCGAUGGAAAUAUCCCUUGCUGCUGUGUCGGCUCCACGGACAGCAUAACUCACAAGAACUGCCAAAAUAAUGCCUAUAGGAAUUCCAGUACAUGCGCCAAGUGUUCCAUGUUCUGCACCUGCAACUGCUCCCAUGAGUGCCCCCACUACAGCAGUCAUAAUCACUAUUAGUGGUUUGACGUAGUGGCCCACCACAGACAAGGCCUCUUCCCUGUAUCCUUGCUUGACGGCCUGUAGGUCCACCUUCUGAUGGUCAGCCAUUACCGACCCGUCCUCUUCUCUGUGCUUACUUCAAAGAAUAAACACACACACAGAGACAGUUCAUGAAUCAGAUCACCGUUACAGAUGUAGGAUCUUAAAUUUGAGCCAGUUUGCUAAAGCAGGAAAAUAAACCUGCAGCAAUAGGGAAUGUGAAUUAUUACGUGGAUUAUUUUUUAAGGACAGUUCUGUAGUGGUUGAUACAUUUUUCCUUUGGGUAAAUCUAGUCUGAAAUGUCAAAGUGGAAAUUACUAACUUUAGAAGCAAUUUUAAAU